RNAcentral lists this microRNA precursor (200 nucleotides) under Brachypodium distachyon (stiff brome). RNAcentral describes it as "MIR1435 microRNA precursor family". It matches the Rfam family "MIR1435 microRNA precursor family". Lineage: Eukaryota; Viridiplantae; Streptophyta; Magnoliopsida; Poales; Poaceae. The record is from Rfam by way of RNAcentral.
UAACUUUGUCCUAAGUCAAAGUUCUUAAAGUUUGACCAAGUUUAUAGAACAAUAUACUAACAUCUACAAUAUCAAAUAAGCAUAAUAUGAUAAUACAUAUCAUGGCGGGUCUAAUAAAACUGAUUUAGAGUUGUAGGUGUUGAUAGAUUUUUCUAUAAACUUGGUCUAACUUUAAUAAGUUUGACUUAAGAUAAAAUUAG